CAACUUUUGACAACGGAUCUCUUGGUUCUCCCAUCGAUGAAGAACGCAGCGAAUUGCGAUAAGUAAUGUGAAUUGCAGAAUUCAGUGAAUCAUCGAAUCUUUGAACGCACCUUGCGCCUGUGGGUAUUCCCACAGGCAUGCCUGUUUGAGUGUCACUA
This 158-nucleotide ribosomal RNA is filed under the name Erratomyces patelii. Its description in RNAcentral is "5.8S ribosomal RNA". It matches the Rfam family "5.8S ribosomal RNA". From Rfam's summary of the family: 5.8S ribosomal RNA (5.8S rRNA) is a component of the large subunit of the eukaryotic ribosome. It is transcribed by RNA polymerase I as part of the 45S precursor that also contains 18S and 28S rRNA. Functionally, it is thought that 5.8S rRNA may be involved in ribosome translocation. Lineage: Eukaryota; Fungi; Basidiomycota; Exobasidiomycetes; Tilletiales; Tilletiaceae. The record is from RNAcentral.